This 429-nucleotide ribosomal RNA is filed under the name uncultured bacterium. Its description in RNAcentral is "bacterial SSU rRNA". It matches the Rfam family "Bacterial small subunit ribosomal RNA", at positions 355 to 776 of the family's 1533-position model. The record is from RNAcentral.
UGGGGAAUAUUGCACAAUGGGCGAAAGCCUGAUGCAGCGACGCCGCGUGGAGGAUGAAGGUUUUCGGAUUGUAAACUCCUGUUAAGUGGGAAGAAAGACUCAUACCUAAUACGUAUGGGGGAUGACGGUACCACUAGAGAAAGCACCGGCAAACUUCGUGCCAGCAGCCGCGGUAAUACGAAGGGUGCUAGCGUUAUUCGGAAUGACUGGGCGUAAAGAGCGUACAGGCGGUUUGUUAAGUCAACUGUUAAAUCACUCAGCUUAACUGGGUAUCUGCAGAUGAAACUGGCGAACUAGAGUGCAGGAGAGAAAGGUAGAAUUCUCGGAGUAGCGGUAAAAUGCGUAGAUCUCGAGAGGAAUACCGGUUGCGAAGGCGGCCUUUUGGCCUGUUACUGACGCUAAAGCGCGAAAGCGUGGGGAGCAAACAGG